AGUGAACGCUGGCGGCAGGCCUAACACAUGCAAGUCGAGCGGCAGCGCGGGGGCAACCCUGGCGGCGAGCGGCGGACGGGUGAGGAAUUCGUCGGAAUCUGCCUUUUUGUGGGGGAUAACGUAGGGAAACUUACGCUAAUACCGCAUACGUCCUACGGGAGAAAGUGGGGGACCGCAAGGCCUCACGCAGAAAGAUGAGCCGACGACCGAUUAGCUAGUUGGUGGGGUAAAGGCCCACCAAGGCGACGAUCGGUAGCUGGUCUGAGAGGAUGAUCAGCCACAGUGGAACUGAGACACGGCCCAGACUCCUACGGGAGGCAGCAGUGGGGAAUAUUGGACAAUGGGCGCAAGCCUGAUCCAGCCAUGCCGCGUGUGUGAAGAAGGCCUUCGGGUUGUAAAGCACUUUUGUCCGGAAAGAAAUCCCUGGAGCUAAUACCUUCGGGUGAUGACGGUACCGGAAGAAUAAGCACCGGCUAACUUCGUG
RNAcentral lists this ribosomal RNA (484 nucleotides) under uncultured bacterium. RNAcentral's name for it is "partial 16S ribosomal RNA". It matches the Rfam family "Bacterial small subunit ribosomal RNA", at positions 29 to 507 of the family's 1533-position model. The record is from RNAcentral.